Molecule: long non-coding RNA, 377 nt
Organism: Lycium ferocissimum
Lineage: Eukaryota; Viridiplantae; Streptophyta; Magnoliopsida; Solanales; Solanaceae
Exons: 2
Source: RefSeq, a predicted model, not a curated record
UAGAAUCGGUAUAUUCAAGCGAUGGAGGAGCUCACUAGGAGUCGGAACGUAAGAAAAGGUUGGAGGAGGAGCAACGUAGGAUAAAUCUUGAGUCAGAUGUCAAAGAACUCAAGAAUCAGGUGUGUAACCUCAUCAAGUUGCCUCGCUCUCCGCCCCCGAGCCCCGAUCAUGAUGAUGAUGGUGAGGAUGUAGAGGAUGAGGAGGAUCGGGGAGCAUGGAGAGGCUGAAAUGGAGUAUUAGGUGUCCGUUGUUAUUUUUGUUCUAACUUAUGUUAUUUUGGAUUGUUUGAAGUCUAGUGGGAUGGUAUAUGUUUGGAUAACAUUGACGUUGGUUGGAUUCGUACGUUUUUUGUUGGCUUAAUUUUAAUGUUUGAAUUA